This 366-nucleotide ribosomal RNA is filed under the name Triticum aestivum (bread wheat). RNAcentral describes it as "partial small subunit ribosomal RNA". The record is from RNAcentral. Lineage: Eukaryota; Viridiplantae; Streptophyta; Magnoliopsida; Poales; Poaceae.
AUGGUGUCGGAGCUGAGAUGCUGGGGCCGUACAAUAGUUGCCGUGGAUGGAUGGAACCACCUAGCUGCCACUGCCACACCAGCCGCCACCGCCGCAGCCCCGUCCACGUCGUCCUUGUCCUUCCCCGUCCCUGCUGUCGAUGGCGAGGAUGACAACGAGGACGUCGAUGAGUUCAACGGCUUCGACACACUGAGCGAGUACGAUGCCGGCGUGACAGAGAUCGACGAGGAGGACGAAAAGGCCCUCACUGCAUUCAUGUCCAAGGAAACCUCCUCCAAACGAUCGCUUGGUGAUAUCAUCCUCCAGAAGAUCAAAGAGAAGGACGCCACUGUCUCAACAUGUAAGCUUUCUCCAUGGUUAAUAUGA